CCUACGGGUGGCUGCAGUGGGGAAUAUUGGACAAUGGGGGAAACCCUGAUCCAGCAAUGCCGCGUGUAUGAUGAAGGUCUUAGGAUUGUAAAGUACUUUUAUUGGUGACGAUGAUGACGGUAACCAAUGAAUAAGCUCCGGCUAACUUCGUGCCAGCAGCCGCGGUAAUACGAAGGGAGCUAGCGUUGUUCGGAAUAACUGGGCGUAAAGGGUGCGUAGGUGGGCGUGUGCGUUAGAUGUGAAAUCCCCGGGCUUAACCUGGGAAAUGCAUUUAGUACGGCACGUCUAGAGUGCGAGAGGGGAAAGCGGAAUGGCGAGUGGAGCAGUGAAAUGCAUUGAGAUUCGCUAGAACACCAGAGGCGAAGGCGGCUUUCUGGCUCGCUACUGACACUAAGGCACGAAAGCGUGGGGAGCAAACAGGAUUAGAUACCCUGGUAGUCGGU
Molecule: ribosomal RNA, 443 nt
Filed under: uncultured Rickettsiales bacterium
Lineage: Bacteria; Pseudomonadati; Pseudomonadota; Alphaproteobacteria; Rickettsiales
Description: bacterial SSU rRNA
Rfam family: Bacterial small subunit ribosomal RNA
Source: RNAcentral